This 236-nucleotide unclassified non-coding RNA is filed under the name uncultured fungus. Its description in RNAcentral is "sequence contains ITS1". The record is from RNAcentral. Lineage: Eukaryota; Fungi.
AUUACGCCUCGACUUCGGUCGAGGAUAAUAUCCAACCUAAGCCCAACUAGUGAAACAAACCAUAACUUGCUUCCCGUGACCUUAGUAGUAAGGGCUCGCUGGUUCUCUAUGAGAACCGCUUUCCCCCAACCUCUGGAAUACUCGGGCAACCAAACCCCUGCAAAACUUGUUUGCGAAGAAUAUGAAAAAUCUUUGUUAGAAAUUUGUCUGAACAGAAAAUUCAAAAAUUUGAAUUA